AGUCGCAUGGUCUAGUGGUAUGACGUUUCCUUCACAAUCUGUGAUUUUCGAGCUCCUGAAGCCCGGAAAAGGUCCUGGGUUCGACCCCCAGUGCGACUA
Molecule: non-coding RNA, 99 nt
Organism: Delphinella strobiligena
Lineage: Eukaryota; Fungi; Ascomycota; Dothideomycetes; Dothideales; Dothioraceae
Source: the annotation of a GenBank genome assembly